CACGAAAAAAAGAGGAAGGCUUCAGGAGUGCUCCUAUUGAAGGUUUUUGGCCUGGGGAAGCUGGAGGUGGGCUAACUAGAAAUGGGACAUGGUGUGUGACUGGACUGGGGAGCAUGUUUGGAUUUCCCUCGUUGGGCCUGUGUUGGAAGCAGGGGACAAAAACUAGGACAGCUGGCAGUCUUUGAGCAAGCUCUGACAAUAGUAGGCCCAUUGUUGAAGAGGUUGUGGUUUGGUUGGUUGCUACAGAGGUUGUGGGUCAGAGUUCCAUUGUCAGAUAUGGUCUGGCCAUUGUCUAUUUUAUAUACAGUUUCUCCGUGCUAAGCAAAUGUGCUACAUAUCACUGUGGGGACAUCUCCUUUCAAAGAAGGGAUAGCUAAGGCUAUAGACUCCAGAGCCAGAAUGACUCAGUUUAAAUUCCAGGUCUGCCACUUACAAGCUGUGUGACCCUGAGCAAGUCACCCAACCUCACUGUGGUUCAAUUUCCAAUUCUUAAAUGGGACAAUAAUAGAACCUGCCUCACUGGGUUGCUAGAAGAAGUAAUGAAAUAAUAUGUAAAGCACUUAGGACAGUCUCUGGUCCAUAGUACUUACUAGGUUUAUUGAUAGUAUCAUUCUUCUUCUCUUUCUCUACUUGGUCUGUAGUUCAAGGUCCUUAAACUAUCUUGGACCUUGAAGCAGAAUUCUGAUGCUGGAGGUGGUGACAUAAAAGGAGCUCAUAUCUAAUAAUCUCACAGUAACUGUUCCAGCUCUGCAUGGUCUACCUGUAGAUUUUUUUUUUUUUUUUUUUUGAGACGGAGUCUCACUCCGUCACCCAGGCUGGAGUGCAGCGGCGAGAUCUCUGCUCACUGCAACCUCCGCCCCCCAGGUUCAA
Molecule: long non-coding RNA, 870 nt
Filed under: Homo sapiens (human)
Lineage: Eukaryota; Metazoa; Chordata; Mammalia; Primates; Hominidae
Description: HSALNT0277172
Source: RNAcentral